This 449-nucleotide ribosomal RNA is filed under the name uncultured bacterium. Its description in RNAcentral is "bacterial SSU rRNA". It matches the Rfam family "Bacterial small subunit ribosomal RNA", at positions 335 to 800 of the family's 1533-position model. The record is from RNAcentral.
ACUCCUACGGGAGGCAGCAGCAGGAAUAUUGCACAAUGGGCGAAAGCCUGAUGCAGCGACACCGCGUGCGGGAUGACGGCCUUCGGGUUGUAAACCGCUUUCAGGAGGGAAGAAAAUGACGGUACCUCCAGAAGAAGCUCCGGCCAACUACGUGCCAGCAGCCGCGGUAAUACGUAGGGAGCAAACGUUGUCCGGAUUUAUUGGGCGUAAAGGGCUCGUAGGCGGUUCAACAAGUCGGUCGUGAAAGCCCGGGGCUCAACCCGGAUCGGCGGCUGCGAAACUGUUGUGACUUGAGUUCGGUAGAGGUGAGUGGAAUUCUCAGUGUAGCGGUGGAAUGCGCAGAUAUUGAGAGGAACACCAUUAGCGAAGGCGGCUCACUGGGCCGAUACUGACGCUGAGGAGCGAAAGCGUGGGGAGCAAACAGGAUUAGAUACCCUGGUAGGCUCUGC